CAGCCCUUGAAUACCGGUCGCGGACACAGAGAUGUGUCUUUCAGUUCGGCUGGACCGGAUACAGGUGCUGCAUGGCUGUCGUCAGCUCGUGUCGUGAGAUGUUGGGUUAAGUCCCGCAACGAGCGCAACCCUCGCCCUUAGUUGCCAGCAUUUAGUUGGGCACUCUAAGGGGACUGCCGGUGAUAAGCCGAGAGGAAGGUGGGGAUGACGUCAAGUCCUCAUGGCCCUUACGGGCUGGGCUACACACGUGCUACAAUGGUGGUGACAGUGGGCAGCGAGCACGCGAGUGUGAGCUAAUCUCCAAAAGCCAUCUCAGUUCGGAUUGCACUCUGCAACUCGAGUGCAUGAAGUUGGAAUCGCUAGUAAUCGCGGAUCAGAAUGCCGCGGUGAAUACGUUCCC
Molecule: ribosomal RNA, 400 nt
Filed under: uncultured bacterium
Lineage: Bacteria
Description: bacterial SSU rRNA
Rfam family: Bacterial small subunit ribosomal RNA
Source: RNAcentral